CACACCGCCCGUCACACCAUGGGAGUUUGUUGCACCAGAAGCAGGUAGCUUAACCGCAAGGGGGGCGCUUGCCACGGUGUGGCCGAUGACUGGGGUGAAGUCGUAACAAGGUAACC
This 116-nucleotide ribosomal RNA is filed under the name uncultured bacterium. Its description in RNAcentral is "partial 16S ribosomal RNA". It matches the Rfam family "Bacterial small subunit ribosomal RNA", at positions 1386 to 1501 of the family's 1533-position model. The record is from RNAcentral.